This 659-nucleotide unclassified non-coding RNA is filed under the name Hevea brasiliensis (rubber tree). Lineage: Eukaryota; Viridiplantae; Streptophyta; Magnoliopsida; Malpighiales; Euphorbiaceae. The record is from RNAcentral.
AGAGAGAGAGAGAGAGAGAACUCAAAUACCAACCCAUUCCAAUCCCAAAACUUCUACGAAGAUACCUUCCCUAUUUAUCAACUAUGCAGAUAUGACUUUCAGAUUUUUUGAGCUUUGUCUUGAUAUAGAAAUGUCAUUAAGUCCAUAUUUACAGUCUAUUACUGUCUAGAAAUCAUGUUGAACUGUCAAAGACAGACGACAAAAACAAGUGGAUUAAGCCAAGUGAAUUUAGAAUCCUCUUCCAAACCACAUAUAUCACUAAUUAUUAACCCUGAUCCAGUGCAUAGGCCAGAUAUAAGAUUAAGCACAAUGAAAAGAAAAUUUUACUAGUUAAUGUUUAUUCCAAUAACACAAUAUGAAAUAACCAGGCACAUAGAGAAGACUAAAAUCUAACCAUUUAGAAUAAUUUAGAUCAGUUUCAAUCAUUUGAAAACAAUGAAGCGAACAAAAGCAACCCUUUUAUACAAAUAAACUCCAAAUGUUAGCUUAUAAACACCAAAGUUGGAUACUGAAACAAAGGGUAAAGUCAAACCCACAAACGGUAGUGCUAGAAUCCAUAAACAUGAUAAGUACAAACCUUUGAGCGCUCACUGUGUUGGAAGCAUCGACACAACCACCACGUCCAGAAUCCCAAUCAGAGGGACUGCUUUGAAAUCCAC